Molecule: long non-coding RNA, 2400 nt
Organism: Eublepharis macularius
Lineage: Eukaryota; Metazoa; Chordata; Lepidosauria; Squamata; Eublepharidae
Exons: 2
Source: RefSeq, a predicted model, not a curated record
UUUCUGUUAAAUCCCCCCCCCUUCCCAUAAUCCUUUUCCCCUAUUGGGAAAAAAUAUUAUCACCUGUAUGGAGAAAGGCUCAUUGAGGAGCCAUGUUUAGCAACAAGAAGCCUGGAAGGGGGAAAAAAAGAUUCUCUGUGUCUGGUUGAGGUUUUAAAACAUGUUGGGUGAAAAUGAAUGCCGCUGAGCAUUGGUUGCCAGGUAGUCUGCAGACACCACAGCUUCUGUUACUGACCCCAAAAGAAGGCUGUACUUCAGUGAUGGGGAUCUAUUUUUUAAUUUGCCUUUUUUAAUUUGCAGAGCCCCCCGAAAGGGGAAAGCUUCCCCUUUCUGGGUUCAAUGUUUGGUCUGUCUGGAGCUGCCGACAGCCUUCCUCUCUACUUCUAGGAAACCAGCGCAGUCUUUAGCCAUCUCCCCUUAAGGGCUAAGAUCCAGCCCUGAGCUCUACUAUAAUCAUCCCAGCAGGGCCAGGGUGUGUCUUCUGUAAACUGGACAACUCUGAGUUUAUCAGUUCCCCAUCUCCCAUCAGUGCACCAUCUCUCCAUGACAAAUAUCGCUCCACUCCAACUUUUCAUUCCUCUUAAUGCACAUUUUCAAAUUCCCGAUUAACCCAAAGAGCUGACAGUUCCUUCUGCUUUUGCGCUCAGGGCUGCUUACGAAAGCUCACAAUGACAAGGAUUGCCAGCUCCGGUUUGGGAAGUUCCUGAAGAUUUUGGAGGGGGAGCCUGGGAAAAGUGGGAGAGAAGGAACGUCGGCAGGGAUGUGUCGCCUUAGAGGCAGCUCUCCAAAGCAGCCAUUCCCUCCAGGGGAACGUGUCUCUGUAGCCUGGAGACCAGUUGUAAUUCUAGGAGAUCUUCAGCCACCACCACCUGGAGGUUGGCAACCCUAAAGCUAUUAAAUAAAUACAUAUUUUAGAAUAUGCUGUAUUCCAGGUGGGAUUUUAGAGCAGAAAGGAGGUAAAGUGUGGCCCCCAGAUUAGGGCUUCCAACUCCGGUUUAGGAAAUUCCUGGAGAGUUGUGGGUGGUGGACUCUGGGAAGGAGUGGGAGCUCAGCAGGAACGUGAUGGAAUAGAAUUCACCCUUUGAAGUUGUCAUUUUCUCCAGGGGAAUGCAUCUCUGUAGUCUGGAGAUCAGAUGUAAUCCCACGCGAACUCCAGGCCUUACUACCUAGAGGUGGACAACCCUACCACAGAUGACAGGAGGUCAGUGCCAUCUACAGCCCACUUCAGACUAACACAUGAGCACUCUUUUUCUGUCUCUACCGACAGACAGAGAGGAAGAGAUCCUUUCCCCCAGUGUCGCAGGACCUCCCUGCCUUGUGUCUCCUCCUAAUACUGAUUGUAUUAACCUCAUACUGUGUAAUCCGCCUUGAGCCUCAGAGAGAAAGGCGGAUUAUAAAAUGACAUAAAUAAAAAAAUAAAACUGUUCCCACUUGCUCACAAACAAGAAUUAUGACUUUAUUUAUUUAUUUACUUAGUUACUUCAUUUAACCCCUGAUAUUUGUCCCCAUGGGGACCCAAAGGGACACAAAGCAUUCUCCUCCCCCCAUUUUAUUCUCACAACAAUUCUGUGAGUGGGUCGUUGGUCCAAGGUCAGUCCAGGAAGCUUCUACGGUACGGUGGUAUUCGAACCUGGGUCUCCCAGCUCCUAGUCAAACCACUACACCACUUUGCCUCUUAAAGCAAUCCUUGAACCAUGGGGCAGUGAAAACAAAAACAGGAGAACGGAAUGACAAGAUGAUUUAAGGUCAAGAUGGAGAAAUAAAAAAAGGCUGGUUCUGGAAAAUCAAGACCCCCCCCCCUCAUAGAUCUGCAGUUCUAACUACCUGAUGUUUUUAUUAAUUUUGUUGACUUUGUAUUUUUAGGAGCAAUCCAAAGGCAGCAUCUCAAAGUUGUUUUUAAAGAAACAAAUAGUGCAAAAGUCACCUGGCCAGCAUUUCAUGCUCCAGGGCAGCUGCCAGAGGAGAAGGUACAGCCAGUAAAUGUGCAUGUUUGAUUAUUGCCUUCUGGCCCUCCAGCUUUCUAAAGAACAGGACGUCCUUCAGAGGAAGAAAUGCUUUGCACAUGCUCAAGGGCAUGGCCCUUCCGUUGAUUGUUUUUAAAUACUGCUUGUCAUCCAAAGGAAAGGUGCCAAGGUUCCCAGGCAGCUAUCUAACAGAAGAGGAUUGUUUUGGCUACCGAUGUUCCACCGAGAAUCAGCCUUGGGAAACUACUGCUCUCCCUACUUCAAAGGCGUUGUUUUGGGAACCGUGGGGGGGAGGAGGGGCCCGCUGGGAUCUGUUACUCUGUACCUUAUGCCUUGCCUAUCAUUGGUAACAAUGCAUAUGCACCAUCCUGAAUAUUGCAUUCAGGCUAGUGGACUAUAAUGAACUAUUUCUUCAAUAAAUUCCUUUUGGAAACAA